GCUGGGUGUGGUGGUGCACACCUGUAAUCUUAGCCACUCGGGAGGCUGAGGCAGGAGGAUCACAAAUUCAAAACCAGCCUCAG
RNAcentral lists this small RNA (83 nucleotides) under Marmota monax (woodchuck). The record is from RNAcentral. Lineage: Eukaryota; Metazoa; Chordata; Mammalia; Rodentia; Sciuridae.